UACGAAGGGGGCUAGCGUUGCUCGGAAUCACUGGGCGUAAAGGGUGCGUAGGCGGGGCUUUAAGUCAGAGGUGAAAUCCUGGAGCUCAACUCCAGAACUGCCUUUGAUACUGGAGAGCUUGAGUCCGGGAGAGGUGAGUGGAACUCCGAGUGUAGAGGUGAAAUUCGUAGAUAUUCGGAAGAACACCAGUGGCGAAGGCGGCUCACUGGCCCGGUACUGACGCUGAUGUGCGAAAGCGUGGGGAGCAAACAGG
RNAcentral lists this ribosomal RNA (253 nucleotides) under uncultured bacterium. RNAcentral describes it as "partial 16S ribosomal RNA". It matches the Rfam family "Bacterial small subunit ribosomal RNA", at positions 524 to 776 of the family's 1533-position model. The record is from RNAcentral.